RNAcentral lists this ribosomal RNA (494 nucleotides) under uncultured bacterium. Its description in RNAcentral is "partial 16S ribosomal RNA". It matches the Rfam family "Bacterial small subunit ribosomal RNA", at positions 28 to 507 of the family's 1533-position model. The record is from RNAcentral.
GACGAACGCUGGCGGCGUGCUUAACACAUGCAAGUCGAACGGAAAGGCCUGCUUUCCCUUGUGGAUUGCGGGUACUCGAGUGGCGAACGGGUGAGUAACACGUGAGUGAUCUGCCCCCAACUUGGGUAUAAGCCUGGGAAACUGGGUCUAAUUCCCGAUAGGACUGCAGGGUGGUGCCUGUGGUGGAAAACGAUUUUCUAGUGGUUGGGGAUGAGCUCGCGGCCUAUCAGCUUGUUGGUGGGGUAAUGGCCUACCAAGGCGGCGACGGGUAGCCGGCCUGAGAAGGUGGACGGACACAUUGGGACUGGGAUACGGCCCAGACACCUACGGGAGGCAGCAGUGGGGAAUAUUGGACAAUGGGGGGAAGGCUGAUGCAGCGACGCCGCGUGGGGGAUGACGGCCUUCGGGUUGUAAACUCCUUUCGACCGCGAGGAAGCCACCUGGUUGGAAGGAUGGUGACGGUAGUGGUAGAAGAAGCACCGGCUAACUACGUG